This 517-nucleotide ribosomal RNA is filed under the name fungal sp. 261C2AP. RNAcentral describes it as "eukaryotic LSU rRNA". The stretch from base 153 to 306 matches the Rfam family "5.8S ribosomal RNA". Lineage: Eukaryota; Fungi. The record is from RNAcentral.
GCGGAAGGAUCAUUACCGAGUUUUCGGGCUUCGGCUCGACUCUCCCACCCUUUGUGAACGUACCUCUGUUGCUUUGGCGGCUUCGGCCGCCAAAGGACCUUCAAACUCCAGUCAGUAAACGCAGACGUCUGAUAAACAAGUUAAUAAACUAAAACUUUCAACAACGGAUCUCUUGGUUCUGGCAUCGAUGAAGAACGCAGCGAAAUGCGAUAAGUAAUGUGAAUUGCAGAAUUCAGUGAAUCAUCGAAUCUUUGAACGCACAUUGCGCCCCUUGGUAUUCCGGGGGGCAUGCCUGUUCGAGCGUCAUUACAACCCUCAAGCUCUGCUUGGAAUUGGGCACCGUCCUCACUGCGGACGCGCCUCAAAGACCUCGGCGGUGGCUGUUCAGCCCUCAAGCGUAGUAGAAUACACCUCGCUUUGGAGCGGUUGGCGUCGCCCGCCGGACGAACCUUCUGAACUUUUCUCAAGGUUGACCUCGGAUCAGGUAGGGAUACCCGCUGAACUUAAGCAUAUCAAU